This 442-nucleotide ribosomal RNA is filed under the name uncultured bacterium. Its description in RNAcentral is "partial 16S ribosomal RNA". It matches the Rfam family "Bacterial small subunit ribosomal RNA", at positions 338 to 795 of the family's 1533-position model. The record is from RNAcentral.
CCUACGGGAGGCAGCAGUCGGGAAUAUUGCGCAAUGGAGGAAACUCUGACGCAGUGACGCCGCGUGAAGGAAGAAGGCUUUCGGGUUGUAAACUUCUUUUGACAGGGAAGAGCAGUAGACGGUAUCUGCCGCAUAAGCUACGCCUAACUACGUGCGAGCAGCCGCGGUAAUACGGAGGUGGCAAGCGUGGUCCGGAGUUACUGGGUGUAAUGGGCGUGUAGCCGGGCUGGCAAGUCAGUUGUGAAAUCCGGGGGCUCAACCGCCGAACUGCAUUUGAAACUGGUAGUCUUGAGUGUUGGAGAGGCAGGCGGAAUUCCUAGUGUAGCGGUGAAAUGCGUAGAUAUUAGGAGGAACACCAGUGGCGAAGGCGACCUGCUGGACGACAACUGACGGUGAGGCGCGAAAGCGUGGGGAGCAAACAGGAUUAGAUACCCCAGUAGUC